GUGUCAGCCGCCGCGGUAAUACGUAGGGGGCGAGCGUUAUCCGAAGUUACUGGGCGUAAAGCGCGCGUAGGCGGGCUAUUAAGUCGGAUGUGAAAUCUCCACGGCUCAACCGGGAAACAGCAUCCGAAACUGGUAGCCUUGAGGUAUGGAGAGGGAAGUGGAAUUCCAGGUGUAGCGGUGAAAUGCGUAGAUAUCUGGAGGAACACCCGUGGCGAAGGCGGCUUCCUGGCCAUAUCCUGACGCUGAGGUGCGAAAGCCAGGGGAGCGAACGGGAUUAGAUACCCGUGUAGUCC
RNAcentral lists this ribosomal RNA (293 nucleotides) under uncultured bacterium. RNAcentral describes it as "partial 16S ribosomal RNA". It matches the Rfam family "Bacterial small subunit ribosomal RNA", at positions 505 to 796 of the family's 1533-position model. The record is from RNAcentral.